CCUACGGGUGGCAGCAGUGGGGAAUAUUGGACAAUGGGGGUAACCCUGAUCCAGCCAUGCCGCGUGUGUGAAGAAGGCCCUCGGGUUGUAAAGCACUUUCAGUGAGGAAGAACGCCUGGUGGUUAAUACCCAUCAGGAAAGACAUCACUCACAGAAGAAGCACCGGCUAACUCCGUGCCAGCAGCCGCGGUAAUACGGAGGGUGCGAGCGUUAAUCGGAAUUACUGGGCGUAAAGCGCGCGUAGGUGGCUUGAUAAGCCGGUUGUGAAAGCCCCGGGCUCAACCUGGGAACGGCAUCCGGAACUGUCAAGCUAGAGUGCAGGAGAGGAAGGUAGAAUUCCCGGUGUAGCGGUGAAAUGCGUAGAGAUCGGGAGGAAUACCAGUGGCGAAGGCGGCCUUCUGGACUGACACUGACACUGAAGUGCGAAAGCGUGGGUAGCAAACAGGAUUAGAUACCCGUGUAGUC
This 465-nucleotide ribosomal RNA is filed under the name Vreelandella stevensii. RNAcentral's name for it is "partial 16S ribosomal RNA". It matches the Rfam family "Bacterial small subunit ribosomal RNA", at positions 338 to 795 of the family's 1533-position model. The record is from RNAcentral. Lineage: Bacteria; Pseudomonadati; Pseudomonadota; Gammaproteobacteria; Oceanospirillales; Halomonadaceae.